This 249-nucleotide ribosomal RNA is filed under the name uncultured bacterium. RNAcentral describes it as "partial 16S ribosomal RNA". It matches the Rfam family "Bacterial small subunit ribosomal RNA", at positions 15 to 254 of the family's 1533-position model. The record is from RNAcentral.
GAUCCUGGCUCAGGAUGAACGCUAGCUACAGGCUUAACACAUGCAAGUCGAGGGGCAGCAUUUCAGUUUGCUUGCAAACUGGAGAUGGCGACCGGCGCACGGGUGAGUAACACGUAUCCAACCUGCCGAUAACUCGGGGAUAGCCUUUCGAAAGAAAGAUUAAUACCCGAUGGUAUAAUUAGACCGCAUGGUCUUAUUAUUAAAGAAUUUCGGUUAUCGAUGGGGAUGCGUUCCAUUAGGCAGUUGGUG